RNAcentral lists this transfer RNA (75 nucleotides) under Sphaerodactylus townsendi. RNAcentral's name for it is "tRNA-Ala". The record is from RNAcentral. Lineage: Eukaryota; Metazoa; Chordata; Lepidosauria; Squamata; Sphaerodactylidae.
GGUGGAGUCAUGACUCAGUGGUAAAGCGUUUGCUAAGCCUGCAGAAGUUCACGGGUUCAAUCCCUGGCUUCUCCA